AGAGACAGCAGCAGCCGCGGGAAUACAGAGGGUGCGAGCGUUAAUCGGAUUUACUGGGCGUAAAGCGUGCGUAGGCGGCUUUUUAAGUCGGAUGUGAAAUCCCUGAGCUUAACUUAGGAAUUGCAUUCGAUACUGGGAAGCUAGAGUAUGGGAGAGGAUGGUAGAAUUCCAGGUGUAGCGGUGAAAUGCGUAGAGAUCUGGAGGAAUACCGAUGGCGAAGGCAGCCAUCUGGCCUAAUACUGACGCUGAGGUACGAAAGCAUGGGGAGCAAACAGGAUUAGAUACCCGAGUAGUCCCUGUCUCUUAUAC
This 309-nucleotide ribosomal RNA is filed under the name uncultured bacterium. Its description in RNAcentral is "partial 16S ribosomal RNA". It matches the Rfam family "Bacterial small subunit ribosomal RNA", at positions 504 to 807 of the family's 1533-position model. The record is from RNAcentral.